Long non-coding RNA from Hibiscus syriacus, 500 nucleotides. RefSeq lists it as uncharacterized. The record is from RefSeq and is a predicted model, not a curated record. NCBI's taxonomy places the organism in Eukaryota, Viridiplantae, Streptophyta, Magnoliopsida, Malvales, Malvaceae. The transcript is spliced from 3 exons.
GAGCUCUCUUCCAAGCUCCAUUAAUUAAGAAGGGUUUUUUUUUAAUGAGGCCUUCAAUUCUUAUAAAAAAAAUUAUUAUGAAGUUUUGUCUUCUCCAAGGGCUGAUAGAUGUUCCUAGGUAUUGAUUGGGCCAUUGAGGUGUUAAUUAUUGGCUGUUAGUGACCCAAAUUCUAUUCAUGCUGAAAAUAAUUGGUAUUAGAGAUUUUAUAGCUUAAGUAAUCUCCUAAAAAUGAGCUUUUGAUCUUUGAGACGUUUCUCUGCAGAUUAAAGUGUUUACAGAUUGUGAAAGCUUCAGUUUAAUGGGUAAGGAACAUGCCCUUGUCAUAUGCAAUCACAAAAAUGAUAUCGAUUGGCUAGUUGGAUGGGUUUUAGCACAGCGAUCAGGUUGUCUUGGCAGUACAUUAGCUUUAAUGAAGAAAUCAUCAAAAUUCCUGCCGAUAUGUGUCAGUAUCAUAUGUUUGAAGUAUCAAAUUUGAACAUUGAUAUAUGAUAACUCCGUA